AUUGAACGCUGGCGGCAGGCCUAACACAUGCAAGUCGAGCGGAUGAAGGGAGCUUGCUCCUGGAUUCAGCGGCGGACGGGUGAGUAAUGCCUAUGAAUCUGCCUGGUAGUGGGGGAUAACGUCCGGAAACGGGCGCUAAUACCGCAUACGUCCUGAGGGAGAAAGUGGGGGAUCUUCGGACCUCACGCUAUCAGAUGAGCCUAGGUCGGAUUAGCUAGUUGGUGGGGUAAAGGCCUACCAAGGCGACGAUCCGUAACUGGUCUGAGAGGAUGAUCAGUCACACUGGAACUGAGACACGGUCCAGACUCCUACGGGAGGCAGCAGUGGGGAAUAUUGGACAAUGGGCGAAAGCCUGAUCCAGCCAUGCCGCGUGUGUGAAGAAGGUCUUCGGCUUGUAAAGCAAUUUAAGUUGGGAGGAAGGGCAGUAAGUUAAUACCUUGCUGUUUUGACGUUACCAACAGAAUAAGCACCGGCUAACUUCGUG
Molecule: ribosomal RNA, 484 nt
Filed under: uncultured bacterium
Lineage: Bacteria
Description: partial 16S ribosomal RNA
Rfam family: Bacterial small subunit ribosomal RNA
Source: RNAcentral